Molecule: long non-coding RNA, 1109 nt
Organism: Astatotilapia calliptera (eastern happy)
Lineage: Eukaryota; Metazoa; Chordata; Actinopteri; Cichliformes; Cichlidae
Source: Ensembl
CUGUGUUCCAGCACAAAUGCUAUGAUUUGGCAGGAAAAAAAUAUUAUUUAGUAUAAAUACUAAGUUUUAGCAGAAAUGCUAUGUUUAAACUUUAAAAAAUUCUGCUAUUUCUGCUGAUGUGUGUUAUGACUUUUGACCAUUGAAAUGAAUGGAACACAUUAUCAAUGUGGUCACUGAUUUUGCAUGAUGGGCUGAGCUGUGCUUUACCUCAGUGAGAUAAGCAUCCGUUCUCAGACUGGGAGGCCUGGGUUCAAAUCCAGCUUAUGGCAACAUUUCUUUCACUUAACAGUUAAACUUUUUUUAAACUCUUUUCAACACAAAUUUCAUUUUAUUCACCCCUUUUCAGCAAAAUUUUCAGUUUUUUUAACCCCUUUUCAGCACAAAUCCAAACUUUAUCAGCUCUUUUUCAGCAAAAACCUCUUUUCAGCAGAAUUCUGCUCAUUCAACUCUUUUCAGCAAAAUUUUCAGUUUUUUCUGCUGUUUUCAGAAAAAAACUCUUUUCAGCAGAAUUCUGCUCAUUCACCUCUUUUCAGCAGAAAUUCUGCUGAUGGAACUCUUUUCAGCAGAAUUUUCACCCCUUUUUUUUGCCCAAAUUCUGCUAGCACAAUUGUCAAUCUCUCCACCUUUUCUUUGUGAGAAAGUGUUUGGCUCAGUGAGCUAAAUAGCUGCCCUUUGAUCAGGAGGGCCAGGUUCGAAACCUGCUCAGGGCAUCUUUUUUUUUUUUUUGUUUCAACUUUUUCAGCUUUUUUCAGCAGAUAUCUUCAGCCGUUAAGGCAUCCACACUGCAUUUUCGCAGGAAAUGCAAAUUUUUCUAGUUAAAAUAAUAUUUUAACCACUACGGUGCAAAGUUUUUAGAUACUGCGUUGAUAAAGUACAAGAGAUACAAUCAGUGCUUUGUCAGUGUUUACUCAGCAUUCAAGGACAUCAAUAUUUGCAUAGUAUUUUUACUGACAUAUAGUGCACAUAUGUUUUGGGCAAAAACAUUUUUGAAUAUUAAAAUAUGAACAUUUGUAACAAACAAUUGACAAAUUAGCCAAUGCCAAUGCAAAACUUUAUCUGCCUGUUAAAAAAAGAAGAUAAUCUUCUCACAAACUGGUGUUUGAUUUUGA